Molecule: non-coding RNA, 3564 nt
Organism: Arachis ipaensis
Lineage: Eukaryota; Viridiplantae; Streptophyta; Magnoliopsida; Fabales; Fabaceae
Source: RefSeq, a predicted model, not a curated record
UAUUUGAAUACAAAUAAAAUAUUUGUGAAUAUAGGUAGGUAAUCAGAAGUUCUAUAAUUCCAAUGGAAUGAUAACUGGAAUUCAAAAUGAAUUGAAAUGUCCAAUGAAUAUUGGCAUCGUUGUUUUGUCUUGCUGGAGUUGGAUACUAACAUUUUUUUUUCUAUGGAGAGUAAUGGGGCAUUUUCUAUUGACAUAAAACUUCUUCAUCCUUUUGGCCUUAAUGCUUAUGUUGUCUAAGAUUUAACUUUUGAAAUUUGAAAUUAGCUGAGCGUAAAAUUUUUCAAAAAAGCUUUUGAAUAUAUCAUUUGAAAAUGCCCCAUGCUCUCAUUCCUUCAUUUUGUUUCUCUCAUUCCACCGGGUGCUUCUACGUGAUGAAGGUGGUAAACACGGAUACGGUGCAAUAAAACUAAAGUAUAUAUUCUAAGUAUAUGAGUUGGGCCCAGUUGUUGCUAUGCUGUAUUGGAUAGGGCAUCCUCCUAUCUCGAAGAGGAAGCCAAGUCAUCCUCCAAAGGCUGCUCCUGCUGGUGGUUCGGCUGCUGUUGUUGUGGUGGCAGCUGAAGCUUCAAGUGGCGACUCCUGUUCAUUGCUAUCUCUAAUCCUGCCAUUGCUGUGACUGCAUUGCGGUCGGCAUCCAUGGUUGUGCCUGCUAUUCAUCACAACCAGGAGAAUUUAGAAGAGCAUUUGGAGAAUACCAAUGUGAUUAAUUUCAGCUGCUUUUGCAAUUUUUGCAGGUUUGAUAUUUACUUCUAAAUGAUGCAUUGAAGCUUUAUAAUAUAUAGCAUGAAGUAAUAAAUUAGCCAGCACUGACAGUAAAUGCUACAAUAGCAACAAUUAAUCCUAUUUUAUUUACAACAUGAGAAUCCAAAGCUUCUUACUAUUGGAAAACGAGGUGGAUCUAUUAUUAAGUAAAUACAAAGUAAAGAAAUGACUUCCGAUAUCAACUUUGGAUAUGUACUAUACUAUUGUUAUUACUAAGAAAUUAAAUGUUGAAUCCAUUUGUUAUUAUAAUUUUAUCAUAACACAGAAGUAUGUCAUUGUCAUUUGACUGCUAUUUUUAUGAGUUGGAAUAUUCCUCUUAAUUCAUAUUAUUUGAUGGUUUUACUUUUUAGUUUUGGAAUUAACUGAAUAAUAUUUGUGCUGCAAUUGUUCUUUGAAAAUAUGUUUUUUCUUAUAUUUUUUUUUCAUCUUGUUUUAUGUCUAGAUUAUGUUGUAGAUCUUUUACUUAGUCAAUAUCUUAGUUUUUACUUGAAAUGGUAUUGCUAUUCUAAUUUACCUUUUCGCUACUGCUUUUGGUUUGUUUUCAGGAUGACAUAAUUAAUAAUUUGUUUCAUUUUACUGAUAUUCAUUAUUUUGUGUUGUAUUUUCUAUUUAUUUUACUUUGUUUUAAAAAUAUAAUUGAAGCUAAAAAUUUCUUUUACUAGGUGAUAGCCAAGUAACUAUGUUGAAGCAUAAUUUCUUAUUUGAAUUUUGGUCUCUAAUCAUUGCCUUAUUUGAUCUAUACUUAUUUCGAUUUAUAAAUUUGGUGUUUGAUACUCAUAGAAAUGUUUAUAUCACAAAUUUCUUCUCUCCAGCAGAUUCUAUGAUGAAAAUGCCAUGUCACUGACAUUUAGUGUUUUUGCGGAGCUAAUUAAGGAAAUGUGAAUUAGAUCAUGUUUUAUUGUGUUUAUUGUAUUUUUUUGCUAAAUCAAAGGCCAGUCCAUACAAGGUAUGUCAUGUAAGUUUUAGUCAUCUAAUCUAUCAUUGACAUAUAUAGAGAUUUGAUUUAUGACCUAUUAAAAUAGAUAUUCCCAUUGCAAUGACUUUUACUAUUGAAGUAGGAUGAGAAAUUUCAAUCCACAUGGUAAUUCAUCUUUCUUUUUAUUUUUAUCUUAGGCUAACUACGAAUUUUGCUUUUUCAAAUUUCAUGCUUUCAUUUUCGAUCGAUGAUAUCUUUUACUGCAGAUUUUUUUAAUACUUAUUGGUUUAUUUUUUUCUUAUUGGGAAGCUUACAUAUUCCUUAUCAUUUUAAUUGUUCUGUUGUUUCAUGAUAACAUUUGUGCAUUAAGUUGUUCUAUUGUCUAUAUGCGGCAAUUUCAGGCUAUUGAUACAUUUCUUGGAUUUUUUUUUUAUUAAAUUUGCAAAUCCAUUUUUUUAUGUGGUUGGAUAAUUUUUCAGAUACAUUUCUUGGAUUUUUAGUUCUUGAAGAAGAGAAGGCAAAAAAUAAGUGUUUAAUUUUAGCUUUAUUUGAUGUUUUAAACUCCUAAUGCAUCCUCACUUUUAUUCUUCUCUUUUUAGCCAUUGAGAAUGUUAUGACUAUGACUAAUAUUCCAAAGGAAGAGGCAGUUUGUAAAAUUUGUGCUCAUUAUAAUAAAAUAUGCUUUACUGAAUUUUAUAAAAUAUUAGAGGUAAAUAUUAGGUAAAACAUCAAAGACUUACCCAAGAAAAUGAUGCUUUCUUCGUUGAUGUAUUUAUUCUUCUGUUUUUCACCUAUUCUAUUUUUUUUUAAUUACGAUAUUAAUGCUGUUUUUGAAUCAAUUUGAUGCAGGAUUCAAAUUUUCUACUAUUAUGGAUUGUUACUAUUUUGUGAUAAAAUUUUUUACUAACAAUUUUGUCUUGGUGAUUCUAUUUUUUGAAAAGCUUUCAAGUUUAAUGGACCAUCAAAAUUUCUAUAUUUAUUUUUUGUGUGCUUUUCAUUAUAAGAAGAUUAUUAAGUUACUUAAAGAUCAAAUUAGGAAUUUGGUCCCUCAAAAAUACACUUGACAUGAGAUUAAAAAAAUUUGUGGUAUUUUCAACCUUAAAAUGCAUUUCAUAGUUCAUCUUAGAAAUGUGUUAUAUCUAUUUGACUAAAUAUGGGAUUUUAGACAUAAAUAUACUCAUUUUGUAAGGGUUUUUGACAUCAAUUUUUUUUUUACUUAUAUAAAUCUCUAUAUAUUAAUAUUAUGUCUUUUUAGCAGCAGCAGUAAAGACAAAAAUUCUAACAAAUAAGUAAGAGGACCAAUUCUAAGAAAUAAAAACUUGCUUCUUUAAUGAUAGAAAAGCAAGUAGUCUCUUAGCAUGUAGGAUAAUCUCCUAUGUUUCUCAUACUGUUAAUGAAGGGUCUUAGAUAAAUACUUUUUGCUUAUCUUACUUUAUAGAAGUGUGUAUUUAUUUUACUUUUGGUUUUUUUGGGUACGUUCUGUGCUCUUUGUUGUUAUUACUUUUAAAGUGUUUUGAGUUUUAUUAUUUUAUUGUACUACUUUAAAGUUGAAUAAUUCCAAUUAAAGUAAUUUUAGCCUAAAAGCAUGAACUACGAAAUGGUAACUUAGAAAUUUAGGAUAUAUAUGUUAUGCUUAGCAAAGACAGGUUAUAGUUUUGUAUUUGUUAUUGGACCUAUAAAAGUAAUAGAAGGUUGAGGAUAACUCUUUGACUUUUUGUUUCCAUGAACCCACGUAUUUACAGACCAAAAGUCAAGAUUAUUUUCAUAACUUCAUUUUCAAUUGAUUUCAGUUAAACAACAAGUCAUGUAACUUCUGUUGAGAUGCUGAUAAAUCAUGUUGAAUGUGAAGGCCAUGGUUUUAUUGAAUGAAUAAAUUCUCUGUUUUGGUG